GGGUAUAUCUCAGGUGAGUAUAUCUCAAGUGCGUAUCGUAGCCCCCGAGUGUCAUACCUUCCAGUCAGCCCAUUUGUUAGUGUUCCACUUAGGCUUCAAUAGGAAUAAACUCCACAUAUAAUUAAAUUACGUAGGCACCCACAAAUAUUGUUACGUACCUUUACUCCUUGUACAUGGCUUCAUGGUGCGUGAAGUGCAAGGCUUGGAUGCACAUAUUACACUUGGUAUCUACUCAGUCAUGUCGGGCCAACCUGAGUUCAAGGUUACUCUUGCUAUCAUAUUCCAUAUGGUACUUACGUCGGUUCUCUCUGGUUCAACCCCUAUAUGAUCAAACCAAGUCAAUAUAGGUAAUUAGACUGGGUUUAGAAAAUAGGGUAUCACAGUAUGGGCUUUGAGGACUUUUUGCAGUUGCAAGUGAGUAACUGCGACCUUAAUAUGUAUCAAAUUUUGAUGAAGAGGUGGUGGCCGUUGACUCACACUUUCCAUUUUACCUGUGAGGAGAUAAUUAUCACCCCCAUCGAACUUCAGCUUGUGUGCAGUCCUGUGGUUCAGAGGGAUGGUGAUCAUGGGCUGCCUGAAGGGAUGGGACCCCAUGAAUAAGAUAAGUUAUGUGACCACGCUUAUCAAUGAGUGGUCCAACACCACCACACCGUUAGUGAGAUGGUUUCGCAAGAAUUGGGAAAAGCCAGUGAACGAGGUGAUUGGUGAGUCUCUAGCUUCUACGCGAUAUCAGUUGGCGGAGCUUUGUGAUGUACAUGUUGGGGAACUCCCUCUCAACAAAAGUAUGAAUUCUAUUAGGUUGGAUCUGCUAGGCUAUUUGGAGAAGAUUGAGGGGAUGAAGAAGUACAUCUAGGGAGCAUCCGGAUACUCCACCUCCUUAGGAGCAUCGAUGCCCUGGCUAUGGAUGAGAGGCAUUGUAAUUAUUGUGGAUUCAUGUGUCCUUGAGUGCUGGUGCUUCGAGUAUUUACAUCUCCGAGAGCCCAAGCUUAAGGAAGUAGCCAAGACUUCUUCCCUUGCCCCAGGAGAGGGUUGGCAAUGAUUUAUGAACGCCACAAGCCAAUGCGCUUUGUCUUCGAGCUUAGAAAUCUGUUGAACUGCCUCUCACCUUAGCACCAUGGGCCCUGAAUGGGAGGAUGGCGGUCAAUCCUUGGUGCCUCAUCUUCCACCUUGUCACAAGCUGCACCCAGAGAUGUUGACUCCAAAUCGAAUCUUCGAUGGGAGGAUAGGCUACCCGGUCUCUGAUUUCUUCACAUUAGAGUCCUAGAGCCAAUAACAGGAGUUCAUGAUCACGGAGGGCGUAUGCCACCACAUCACCCCAGAGGGUUUGAAGGAUCACCACGAGAGGAUUCCUCCCACCUCUGCUGCCAUUGGCUCAUCUCAUGCCACCUCCACUACUCCUGUUGCAAGGCCUACUACUAAGAUGGGUGUGCAGAGCAUUCCCAGGGUGAUGGGCCACCACCUGGGGUUGUCCUCCCAGGGUUCCCUGAUUGGGUUUUCUGGGAUACGGGUGUCCCUGUGGACAUCCCUGUUUCUAGGUUGUCGUUGACUGGGGUGCCUACCUAGUAAGCUUAUAUCUUGGGCACCAAUAUGACGCACCAAAUAUGACGAUCUCAUAUCGAUAAUCAAUGGGUAUGAGUAGCUAUUGGGGAAGGAGAUGGCAGCCCAUCGUGCCAUAGUAAUUCACUUUCUCUUGUAAAUGUACCUGCAAGGUUAGUUGCAUAGAAUACUACCACAAAACGUAUGCAUGUGGAAAUCUGAGUUAGAUGCAACGAGGUUGGACAUCAAGGUCUAUUAGGCCACAAUUACAUAGCUUCAGGAGCAAGUUGGUGUGUGGGCACAUUCGUGGCUGCCACGGAGGGGGUGAUGAGUCAUCUCACUCAGAGAGUGAGGAGGAGGAUAGUGCUGAGGUAGAUGCCAGGAGGGAGUGGAGGUCAAAGGCCUUAGAGGAGUCUGAUUAGUUUAGGUUUUUAUUUUUUUUGAUGAUGUACAUGACCACUUGGUCAUUUUUUCUUUCUUUUGAAAUUCUAUGGGUGUAUGACCGGUUGGUCAUUUUUGUAAAGAUUCAGGAUCUUUAAUUCCUCUAAGUAAUGGGAUUUGAAUUUUUCA
Molecule: long non-coding RNA, 2106 nt
Organism: Macadamia integrifolia
Lineage: Eukaryota; Viridiplantae; Streptophyta; Magnoliopsida; Proteales; Proteaceae
Exons: 4
Source: RefSeq, a predicted model, not a curated record